RNAcentral lists this ribosomal RNA (496 nucleotides) under uncultured bacterium. RNAcentral describes it as "partial 16S ribosomal RNA". It matches the Rfam family "Bacterial small subunit ribosomal RNA", at positions 28 to 506 of the family's 1533-position model. The record is from RNAcentral.
GAUGAACGCUGGCGGCGUGCCUAAUACAUGCAAGUCGAGCGAACAGACGAGGAGCUUGCUCCUCUGACGUUAGCGGCGGACGGGUGAGUAACACGUGGAUAACCUACCUAUAAGACUGGGAUAACUUCGGGAAACCGGAGCUAAUACCGGAUAAUAUAUUGAACCGCAUGGUUCAAUAGUGAAAGGCGGUUUUGCUGUCACUUAUAGAUGGAUCCGCGCCGCAUUAGCGAGUUGGUAAGGUAACGGCUUACCAAGGCAACGAUGCGUAGCCGACCUGAGAGGGUGAUCGGCCACACGGGAACUGAGACGCGGUCCAGGCUCCGAGGGGAGGCAGCAGUAGGGAAUCUUCCGCAAAGGGCGAAAGCCUGACGGAGCAACGCCGCGUGGGUGAUGAAGGGCUUCGGAUCGUAAAACGCUGUUAUUAGGGAAGAACAAAUGUGUAAGUAACGAUGCACGUCUGGACGGUACCUAAUCAGAAAGCCACGGCUAACUACGG